UAUAAGCAAUCUAUACUGUGAAACUGCGAAUGGCUCAUUAAAUCAGUUAUCGUUUAUUUGAUAGUACCUUACUACUUGGAUAACCGUGGUAAUUCUAGAGCUAAUACAUGCUAAAAACCCCGACUUCGGGAGGGGUGUAUUUAUUAGAUAAAAAACCAAUGCCCUUCGGGGCUCUUUGGUGAUUCAUGAUAACUUAACGAAUCGCAUGGCCUUGCGCCGGCGAUGGUUCAUUCAAAUUUCUGCCCUAUUAACUUUCGAUGGUAGGAUAGAGGCCUACCAUGGUAUCAAUGGGUAACGGGGAAUUAGGGUUCUAUUCCGGAGAGGGAGCCUGAGAAACGGCUACCACAUCCAAGGAAGGCAGCAGGCGCGCAAAUUACCCAAUCCCGACACGGGGAGGUAGUGACAAUAAAUACUGAUACAGGGCUCUUUUGGGUCUUGUAAUUGGAAUGAGUACAAUUUAAAUACCUUAACGAGGAACAAUUGGAGGGCAAGUCUGGUGCCAGCAGCCGCGGUAAUUCCAGCUCCAAUAGCGUAUAUUAAAGUUGUUGCAGUUAAAAAGCUCGUAGUUGAACCUUGGGCCUGGCUGGCCGGUCCGCCUCACCGCGUGUACUGGUCCGGCCGGGCCUUUCCUUCUGGGGAUCCGCAUGGCCUUCACUGGCUGUGUCGGGGAACCAGGACUUUUACUUUGAAAAAAUUAGAGUGUUCAAAGCAGGCCUUUGCUCGAAUACAUUAGCAUGGAAUAAUAGAAUAGGACGUGCGGUCCUAUUUUGUUGGUUUCUAGGACCGCCGUAAUGAUUAAUAGGGAUAGUCGGGGGCAUCAGUAUUCAAUUGUCAGAGGUGAAAUUCUUGGAUUUAUUGAAGACUAACUACUGCGAAAGCAUUUGCCAAGGAUGUUUUCAUUAAUCAGUGAACGAAAGUUAGGGGAUCGAAGACGAUCAGAUACCGUCGUAGUCUUAACCGUAAACUAUGCCGACUAGGGAUCGGGCGAUGUUAUUCUUUUGACUCGCUCGGCACCUUACGAGAAAUCAAAGUCUUUGGG
This 1039-nucleotide ribosomal RNA is filed under the name Botryosphaeria fabicerciana. Its description in RNAcentral is "SSU rRNA". It matches the Rfam family "Eukaryotic small subunit ribosomal RNA", at positions 64 to 1111 of the family's 1831-position model. The record is from RNAcentral. Lineage: Eukaryota; Fungi; Ascomycota; Dothideomycetes; Botryosphaeriales; Botryosphaeriaceae.